UUGACCUCGGAUCAGGAGGA
This 20-nucleotide ribosomal RNA is filed under the name Parmelina tiliacea. RNAcentral describes it as "partial 28S ribosomal RNA". The record is from RNAcentral. Lineage: Eukaryota; Fungi; Ascomycota; Lecanoromycetes; Lecanorales; Parmeliaceae. RNAcentral also lists the same sequence under 2 other names.